RNAcentral lists this long non-coding RNA (3368 nucleotides) under Olea europaea subsp. europaea. The record is from RNAcentral. Lineage: Eukaryota; Viridiplantae; Streptophyta; Magnoliopsida; Lamiales; Oleaceae.
UGUUGCGGUGUCUUGCGAACUGUAUAGUGCCGCUGAAUACCAUGCUCCUCACAAAAUCUCAGAAACUGUGAAUCUGUAUACUCUGUACCGUUAUCUGUCCUCAGAUACUUAAUUUUUCUGCCAAUCUGGUUCUCUUCUUCUGCUUUCCAUAAUUUGAACUUGGCAAAGGUUUCAGGCUUGUGCUUCAUGAAAUAUACCCAAACUUUUCUGAGAAGUCAUCAAUGAAAGUAAUAAAAUACUGAAAUCCACCUUUGGACAACUCCCUCACUGGUCCCCAAAUAUCUGAGUGCACGUAAUCAAGAAUGCCCUCUGUCUUUUGCUUUUCCAUCUUGAAGUGUACUCUAGACUGUUUUUCAAGUGCACAGAACUUGCAGAAAUUCAGCUUGCAUGAUUUUACCCCCUUCAACAAAUUCCUCUUGUGAAGCUCAACCAUGCCACGUUCUCCUAUAUGCCCCAGUCGCAUAUGUCAUAGAAGAGUGUCAUCUGACUCAGAUUUUGCUGUAGCAACUCCACCUACAACUGUAUCCCCGAGUAGUUUGUAGAUAUUCCCUACCAAUUUCUGACCCUUCAUCACAAUCAUAGCCCCUUUCUUUACUGUUAGAGCCCCACACUCUGACUUAUAAGAGUAACCAUUUGUGUCUAAAGUGCCUAAAGAAAUUAGAUUCUUUUUCAACUCAGGUACAUGCCUAACAUUUUCCAAGGUCCUUAUCACACCAUCGAACAUUUUAAAUUUUAUGGAUCCCAUUCCAAUGACCUUACAUGAUGCAUCAUUACCCAUCAGAACAGAUCCAAAAUUACCAGAAUGAUAUGAAUGAAACCAAUCCCAUUGAGGACAUAUGUGAUAUGAACAUGCUGAAUCAAGUACCCAACAGUCAUUUAAUUUUACAAAAUUACCUGCAGAGACUGAUAACAUGUCUCCAUCUCCAGAAUCCGAGUCUCCUUUUGCAACACUAGCUGAGUUUGAGGACCCAUCACCUUUCCUUUCAUCACUCUGCUUCUUAUUUGGACAAUUUCUCUUAAAGUGGUCCAUCUGAUUGCAUUUGUAGCACUUCACGUUUUUAUUAUUUUGAUUUCUAGAUUUUGAUUUUGUGUUCCCUCUAAAAGAAACACCUCUGUCCUUCCUUCUCCCACGAUCCUGGUAGCCCUUUAUGAUUAACCCUUCACCCUGUGAAGUUUCAUCAGUACGCAGUUUCCGCUGGUUGUAGGCUAACAGGGCUGAUGUGACUUUUUCCAAUUCGAGAGUCUCUUUACCCCACGUCAACGUGGUCACCAAAUGGUCAUACGAAGGAGGAAGUGAGCACAACAAAAUCAUUGCCUUGUCUUCAUCAUCAAACUUGAUUUCAAGUCGCAAUAGAUCGCUGAUGAUUUGAUUGAACACAUUGGUGUGUUGAAUCAGAUCCGUACCCUCCAACAUCUUCAGCCCGUACAGUCGCUGCUUUAGAUGCAGCUUGUUUGUGAGAGAUUUCGACAUAUAAAUACUCUCCAAUUUCUCCCAAACCUCCGCCGGAGACUCAACAUCCAUGACGUGAUACAUGAUUUCUUCCGCCAAGCAAAGCCGAAUUGUACCAACUGCUCGCGCCUCGAGCUCUUCCCAAUCGGCAUCUGACGUACCCUUUGGUUUCUUCCUAGAUAGUGCCUUCAUCAUCCCUUGCUGCGCCAACAAAUCCUUCACCCUUCGCUGCCAUAAUACGAAGUUCCCAGAUCCGUCAAACUUCAUCACAUCAAAUUUUGCAAUCGAAGAACUCGCCAUCUGAACCUAACUCUGAUACCAGUUGUUGGAUUUUAUGCGCAAUAUUAAAGAGAUGAAAACGAUAAUCAACACAAGAAUUUUACGUGGUUCGACAGUGUGCCUACGUCCACGAGAGCGAAGCAGAUAUUUCUUUAUUCAAAUGUGAAAAAUAGGGUUACAACAUAUUAUUUAUACUAACCCUAAUCUGGGCUCAUAUAAAACUUUAAGGCCCGUACAGAAAAUACUCCUGUACCGUACCGCGCCCCACGUUGCCCUCGCACCCCCAACCCAUUCAACGUCCCUAACAACCAGACAGUGAAUUAAACCCGCGCAAAGUCGAUGUCGUCGCUCUGCUUCGUUCCGUUUGAUGCCCUCCGCUCCGCGCCGGCAUCGGCCCAUUUGAUCCAGGGCCUGUGUUCCACUCUAUAUGGGCCACAUGCACAACACAUAUUACACAAGAUGAACAUGAGCAGUGUUCGUUCAACUUCGACAAGAAGUAUCUGUCAGUUACCUUAUUGUCAUGCCAUGAACUUGGGGAUGUGCCACAACAGCUCAACUUUUUGAUACAGAAGAAAGUUGGAAGGAUGUGGCAGAUCUAUAAAUCGGAAACAACUUCUCCCUUUCAUCAUUAUUAUUAUUAUUUUGUUUCCUCCUUUUUUUCCUGGCCUUCUUUAUGACAAGAAAUAACAAGACUAGUAGCUAGUCAUAUACGAUGGUUAUUGAGAGGGAUGUCCCAUCUAUACCUCUACAUAUUAAAAGGUUUAUAAUGAAAAAGAUAUUGUUCGUUUUAUCUUAAGCUUUAUAGUUGUUGGCAGGUCUUCAUUCAAUCAGAUGUCCUUGAAGUGGCAAUUGACAUGAGGAACUAUUUUGAUGCUAAGUUAGAUAAACUUGUACAUGUUAACAGUAUUUACACUAAUAUGCUUUGUGACACUGAGGGAUGGUUGUUGAAUAAUCCAUUGGGAAUAAGGACGGAGCGUGAGAUCCAUGCUGAAUUUGAAGGUGCUAGAAUUUACAGAAGAAUGUACCAAAAGCAGAGGUGCAUUUUUGCUUCUUUUUCUUUUUUUCCUCCCAUCAGUAUUGUACUUGUCUUAUGAUCAUGUCUUUGUGUAUCUGCAGUUGAUUAUGCUCCUCGUGUUGUUCCAUGAAGCACAGGACUUCUUAGUUGAUUAGUCUACUUGCAGAAUUGCUCUGCCAGCUACCAUGGGCCAGUGAUCUUUGUAGCAUUCUUGGUUUACAAGGCCUGGUUCUUGCUUGAAUGGCACAAGAAGUUGCUUUUUGAGGAAAUGACUAAGAAACAUUCUUGGUGCAAUCUUUUAUCAUUAGUCAUAACCUCCUUUCCUUAGGGCCCAUCAUCCUCGACUAGCAAUGAUUGUACUCAAUACGCCAUUGAAAGACAUUUAUGUUCGCGUUGUAAAGAGAGAGUCAUGGUGGACCGACAGUUCCUUUUGACAAAUGAGCUAUCCUGUUGAAACCUUCUACUUGGACCGAGUAUUGUAUAUUUGCACCAAAAUCAUUUGAUUGUUUCUUUAGCUGAUGCUGCCUUUGCACUUGUUUCUCCAUAUGCCCUUAUCAAUCGACAAUGUUCUUUUAGCAGCUAAUGCAAUUUCCUGGCAUAUUAAGUCGUUUAUAUCAAAUUCAC